Daphnia pulex (common water flea) is the source of this 1304-nucleotide long non-coding RNA. RefSeq lists it as uncharacterized. The transcript is spliced from 3 exons. The record is from RefSeq and is a predicted model, not a curated record. NCBI's taxonomy places the organism in Eukaryota, Metazoa, Arthropoda, Branchiopoda, Diplostraca, Daphniidae.
GAUGCCACGUGCUGACGAGCCAUUUUCCAGGGUGUCUCGACGAAGCAGCCUCCCAGCAUUUCUUUGCAAAUCAUGGGAGAAUUCGAUUCGUCUGAGGCGUGCAGUGAAGUCGAACGCCAUUUUCGUUUGAUUUUGAAACGAACAAGACGAAACAAGUUAUAAUAAAACACAAAAAUGUAAGCUCUUUCGUCACGAGUUUUUCUCGACACACACUUUAGGAUGGGCACAGUUUCUUUCCCAUAUUCAUAACAUGGCAGUGCAUGCUGCAGAAUAAUUGUAUUGUGGGUUUCGUUUGUUGGUCACAAAAGUGGCCAAACAUGUGGCAAGUCUGGUGCGGGGAAUAAAAACAUACGUUACAGAAGAUCGCACUCAUUAUUGCAGCAAUGGCCACACGAUGUGAACAACUGUGAUGAAUAAUCGUUGUUGUCAGUUUUCAGCAUAAAGGAUUUUUUUUUAUUCAAAUGCUUUCACCAAGAAAACUUUAAAUUAAUCCUAGGACGAUCCAAUUCCAAAUCUGACUGUUCACACCCCCCUUCUCUCUUGUGUCUGAAUUAGAUGACGCUGUCCCACAACUUUGUGAGGUUCAAACUCCACAUUACGUACAUUUUAGGCAAUUAACUCAUUGAAGACACCGUGCGAGAGGUGUCGAGAAAAAAAGCCGGGCCAACUGUGAAACCGAGUGUCGUGACGAUAUAACCUUUUUUUUUUCCUUUAUACAACUCUCAAAAGACCCAAAAGUUUUUCCCGACAUUUUUUUCCCCUUUCGUCGUCAGAAAAGCCAGGCAAGAUUAUUACAUACUUUAGAGAAAAAAAAAGAAGAGCGCCACACUGAAAGUUCUUGGCACUGAUGGAUAGUUCAGGAGUUAGGAAUAUGGUAGCUAUUGCGCAAUAUUAAACGUAUGUAAUACAUGCCGGACUUGAUGAUGUCACGAACGUAUAAGCGUCUGAAUACUUUAUAAGUUCCUUGCUUCCUUUGCCAACUGCUCUUCCCUAGAAACCACCAUCGCAACGAAAUAUCAACGUUCUCGUGACCAAUACAAGCGAUCAAUGAUCAUUCUAAAUCAAACUGACUGAUAAUAACUUCCAAGCAAGAGAAAUCGAAUGCAACCGCCAAUCCGCUAAUUCUAGGAUGCAUUAAUAUUUCAAGUUUCUAAGAAUCGUCAGAAAUGGUUAAGUUGUCUUUAAUCCUUACUAAAAGGAUCAGGAGCACACGGAUUUUGUGAUGAUUCAAACAGAAAUAGUGUAUUUUCAUACGUGAUUCGUCUUUCACUGCCACCUAGGGGUAGAAAACGAAAUAAAGAAGA